AAACGUCAUUCCAAUUAUAUAGGUCAAAAACCUAGGGCGCAGAGAAAUCAUCUGACUUGUUCAUGGUCACACAGAACCCAAUCCUGUCGCAUUGCAAGUACCCGGUUUUUCCGCCAUUCCACCUCACAAGUAUUACUCAGUACACAGCAAACGGUUUGCCCUUGAAGCUGCACCCCAGCGUGUGAGGCACCCUGUUGCAAAAUCAAUAAAUGGCUUUACUUCAAUGUGACCAGGGCUUAUAGACUAAGACAAACAAUAACGCAAUGAGCUCGCCGCGUCUAAGGUGCACUUUGCAUACUUUUCUCAUGGAAGCUCCACAUCUCUUUGCUGUAGGUCACUAUUGGUCAACAAAAUGGGCAAAUCAAAUUUAAAGAGGGAGCAGAAGGCAGAAGGAAAGAAGAGAGGAGAAUAAAAGGACCACAGGCAAGGGGCGAGGGAGAGAAUGAGGAGGGACAUCCUUUCCCUUGCCUGCUUCUCAGAGGGCAAAGAUUUUCUAUCUGUAAAGAAAUAUGAAGAAAAAAAUUCAAACAUACGUUGUCUUCUAACUAAAUUGUAAAACUGAAGCCAUAGUUGCAUUUUUAUUGUAUUAAUAUAAAAACAGCAAUAUUUUGUUGACAGAAAAUAAAAUGUGUGUCUCAGCAAUCUUGCUCCCCUGACUCUCACCCGGCGGGUUAGUCCCACGGUGGCUUUAGAGGGGCUGGGGGAUGGGAGGUCGCCUGUUGAGAUAAAGAAGGCAAGUUCACUACCUCUCCCUUGGGCAGAGAAGCGUUCAUGCAGGAAGUGAACUUUCAAAGACUUCAAAAAC
This 805-nucleotide long non-coding RNA is filed under the name Equus caballus (horse). Its description in RNAcentral is "lncRNA (ENSECAG00000033531.2)". Lineage: Eukaryota; Metazoa; Chordata; Mammalia; Perissodactyla; Equidae. The record is from RNAcentral.